ACGGGUGAGUAAUAUAUCGGAACGUACCCAAGAGUGGGGGAUAACGUAGCGAAAGUUACGCUAAUACCGCAUACGAUCUAAGGAUGAAAGCAGGGGAUCGCAAGACCUUGUGCUCCUGGAGCGGCCGAUAUCUGAUUAGCUAGUUGGUGGGGUAAAGGCCCACCAAGGCAACGAUCAGUAGCUGGUCUGAGAGGACGACCAGCCACACUGGAACUGAGACACGGUCCAGACUCCUACGGGAGGCAGCAGUGGGGAAUUUUGGACAAUGGGGGCAACCCUGAUCCAGCAAUGCCGCGUGAGUGAAGAAGGCCUUCGGGUUGUAAAGCUCUUUUGUCAGGGAAGAAAAGGCUGUGGCUAAUAUCUACAGCUGCUGACGGUACCUGAAGAAUAAGCACCGGCUAACUACGUGCCAGCAGCCGCGGUAAUACGUAGGGUGCAAGCGUUAAUCGGAAUUACUGGGCGUAAAGCGUGCGCAGGCGGUUUCGUAAGUCUGUCGUGAAAUCCCCGGGCUUAACCUGGGAAUGGCGAUGGAGACUGCGAGGCUAGAGUUUGGCAGAGGGGGGUAGAAUUCCACGUGUAGCAGU
Molecule: ribosomal RNA, 584 nt
Filed under: Duganella sp. StRD756
Lineage: Bacteria; Pseudomonadati; Pseudomonadota; Betaproteobacteria; Burkholderiales; Oxalobacteraceae
Description: bacterial SSU rRNA
Rfam family: Bacterial small subunit ribosomal RNA
Source: RNAcentral